Molecule: ribosomal RNA, 247 nt
Filed under: uncultured bacterium
Lineage: Bacteria
Description: partial 16S ribosomal RNA
Rfam family: Bacterial small subunit ribosomal RNA
Source: RNAcentral
AUGCAAGUCGAACGUGCUCUAGCAAUAGAGCAAGUGGCGAACGGGUGAGUAAUGUAUGGGAAUCUCCCUAUCAAUAGUGGAUAAAUACACUAUACGUUCACAGUAAUGUGAAGAAAGUAUUUUUCGUUGAUAGAAGAGCCCAUAUCAGAUUAGAUAGUUGGUGGGUAAAGGCCUACCAAGUCGAUGAUCUGUAGCUGAUUUGAGAGAAUGAUCAGCCACACUGGGACUGAGACACGGCCCAGACUUC